RNAcentral lists this ribosomal RNA (253 nucleotides) under uncultured bacterium. Its description in RNAcentral is "partial 16S ribosomal RNA". It matches the Rfam family "Bacterial small subunit ribosomal RNA", at positions 524 to 776 of the family's 1533-position model. The record is from RNAcentral.
UACGGGGGGGGCAAGCGUUGUUCGGAAUUACUGGGCGUAAAGGGUUUGUAGGUGGCCAACUAAGUCAGACGUGAAAUCCCUCAGCUUAACUGGGGAACUGCGUCUGAGACUGGAUGGCUUGAGUGCAGGAGAGGAACGCGGAAUUCCAGGUGUAGCGGUGAAAUGCGUAGAUAUCUGGAGGAACACCGGUGGCGAAGGCGGCGUUCUGGACUGCAACUGACACUGAAAAACGAAAGCCAGGGGAGCAAACGGG